GGACUGCGGAAGGAUCAUUA
This 20-nucleotide ribosomal RNA is filed under the name Lodderomyces parapsilosis. Its description in RNAcentral is "Candida parapsilosis partial 18S ribosomal RNA". Lineage: Eukaryota; Fungi; Ascomycota; Pichiomycetes; Serinales; Debaryomycetaceae. The record is from RNAcentral. RNAcentral also lists the same sequence under 2 other names.